This 345-nucleotide long non-coding RNA is filed under the name Phasianus colchicus (ring-necked pheasant). RNAcentral describes it as "lncRNA (ENSPCLG00000017698.1)". Lineage: Eukaryota; Metazoa; Chordata; Aves; Galliformes; Phasianidae. The record is from RNAcentral.
GUUGAUUAGCUGGUGUUAGAGCAUUUGCUCUUAAAAACUCUGAUGGGAGUCAGCUGCUGGUGUCUAUAUAAGGUGGGGGGAAGGAAGAGGAGUGGUAGAAGCAGGAGGUAGUGUCUGUGUUGUGGAGUUGUUUGCCUAUUUGCUUAAAGUCUGCAGGGGGAGACUGGUGUAGUUUGUGCAGUGAGGGAGUGUAAGCUGUCUGCAAACAUAGCAGCUGCUGGGGCAAGAAACAGCUGUGAGAGGGGGGGAAGGUAGGGUAGAAUGUUGUCAGUAAUGGGUCAGAGCCAAGGAGGAAAAGCCUGGUCCUGGAAAGCACAGUGCUGGGAUAAUCGCUGCACUAGGUGA